Molecule: non-coding RNA, 28 nt
Filed under: Rattus norvegicus (Norway rat)
Lineage: Eukaryota; Metazoa; Chordata; Mammalia; Rodentia; Muridae
Source: RNAcentral
GAGGCUGAAAAAGUGAAUUGGGUUAGCA